CUACGUAGGGGGCGAGCGUUGUCCGGAAUGAUUGGGCGUAAAGGGCGCGUAGGCGGCCCGGUAAGUCUGGAGUGAAAGUCCUGUUUUUAAGAUGGGAAUUGCUUUGGAUACUGUCGGGCUUGAGUGCAGGAGAGGCAAGUGGAAUUCCCAGUGUAGCGGUGAAAUGCGUAGAGAUUGGGAGGAACACCAGUGGCGAAGGCGACUUACUGGACUGUAACUGACGCUGAGGCGCGAAAGUGUGGGGAGCAAACAGGAUUAGAUACCCUGGUAGUCCACACUGUAAACGAUGAAUGCUAGGUGUAGGGGGUAUCGACCCCUUCUGUGCCGCAGUCAACACAAUAAGCAUUCCGCCUGGGGAGUACGGCCGCAAGGUUGAAACUCAAAUGAAUUGGCGGGG
RNAcentral lists this ribosomal RNA (397 nucleotides) under uncultured bacterium. RNAcentral's name for it is "partial 16S ribosomal RNA". It matches the Rfam family "Bacterial small subunit ribosomal RNA", at positions 523 to 918 of the family's 1533-position model. The record is from RNAcentral.